CAAAACGACUCUCGGCAACGGAUAUCUCGGCUCUCGCAUCGAUGAAGAACGUAGCGAAAUGCGAUACUUGGUGUGAAUUGCAGAAUCCCGUGAACCAUCGAGUCUUUGAACGCCAAGUUGCGCCCGACGCCAUUAGGCCGAGGGCACGUCUGCCUGGGCGUC
This 162-nucleotide ribosomal RNA is filed under the name Junellia toninii var. mulinoides. RNAcentral describes it as "5.8S ribosomal RNA". It matches the Rfam family "5.8S ribosomal RNA". Rfam says of the family: 5.8S ribosomal RNA (5.8S rRNA) is a component of the large subunit of the eukaryotic ribosome. It is transcribed by RNA polymerase I as part of the 45S precursor that also contains 18S and 28S rRNA. Lineage: Eukaryota; Viridiplantae; Streptophyta; Magnoliopsida; Lamiales; Verbenaceae. The record is from RNAcentral.